RNAcentral lists this ribosomal RNA (52 nucleotides) under Atopomonas hussainii. RNAcentral's name for it is "Pseudomonas hussainii 23S rRNA. Bacterial LSU". The record is from RNAcentral. Lineage: Bacteria; Pseudomonadati; Pseudomonadota; Gammaproteobacteria; Pseudomonadales; Pseudomonadaceae.
CGUUGUGAGGCGUUGAGCUAACCAGUACUAAUUGCCCGUGAGGCUUGACCAU